AUGCUUGGUGUUCAAGAAGAGAGAAGUCACAUGUCUUUAAGAGGGGAAAGCCAUGUCAAUUUGUGUUUUGAUUUGUUAUCUGAUCUAUUUUGCUCUGAUUUUGUUUCCCUAUUUUCUCCCAUUAUCCAGUAUAAGAUUCAGGGGGGGAGACUGCUAGGGAAGGAAAUCUUGAAUUCAUUGCAUAUCCUUUUAUCUUUGGGGACAUGUCUAUAUCAAACUAGAGUACCUAGUACUCACUCUCUACAUGUCAUCCCAGUCUUGGUACUCUUGUGGCUCUUUUGUUUGCUCUGUCUAGUAGUUGUAUCUGCGUUAUCUAACCUUGUUUACUCAGGUUCAUCUCUUCCUAAGUCAACCCAAGACCACAAGGUAAGUAUAUGCAUCACACUCAUGUGCAUGAUGAUUUCUUGCUAA
This 411-nucleotide ribosomal RNA is filed under the name Triticum aestivum (bread wheat). RNAcentral describes it as "partial small subunit ribosomal RNA". Lineage: Eukaryota; Viridiplantae; Streptophyta; Magnoliopsida; Poales; Poaceae. The record is from RNAcentral.